This 83-nucleotide small RNA is filed under the name Marmota monax (woodchuck). Lineage: Eukaryota; Metazoa; Chordata; Mammalia; Rodentia; Sciuridae. The record is from RNAcentral.
GCCAGGUGCGGUGGUGCAUGCCUGUAAUCCCAGCAACUUUGGAGGCUGAGGCAGGAGUAUUGCAAGUUCAAAGCCAGCCUCAG